RNAcentral lists this non-coding RNA (125 nucleotides) under Carlito syrichta (Philippine tarsier). The record is from RNAcentral. Lineage: Eukaryota; Metazoa; Chordata; Mammalia; Primates; Tarsiidae.
AGGAUGUAUAAAGGAGAGAAGGUUAGCACUCCCCUUGGCAAGGAUGGAAAAGGCCCCUAGGCCUGUCAACAUGCUUACGCUUAAGGCACUGCCACCUACUUCAUGGCAUCUGACCAUCAUUUUUU